Non-coding RNA from Gorilla gorilla gorilla (western lowland gorilla), 148 nucleotides. It matches the Rfam family "Metazoan signal recognition particle RNA". From Rfam's summary of the family: The signal recognition particle (SRP) is a universally conserved ribonucleoprotein. It is involved in the co-translational targeting of proteins to membranes. NCBI's taxonomy places the organism in Eukaryota, Metazoa, Chordata, Mammalia, Primates, Hominidae. The record is from Rfam.
GCUGGGAGUGGUGGUGGGCACCUGUAAUCCCAACUACUUGGGAGGCUGAGGCAGGAGAAUCGCUUGAGCCCAGGAGGCAGAGGUGGCAGUGAGCGGAAAUUGCACCACUGCACUUCAGCCUGGGCAACAGAGUGAGACUCGACCUCAA